Rhincodon typus (whale shark) is the source of this 1736-nucleotide long non-coding RNA. RefSeq lists it as uncharacterized. Lineage: Eukaryota; Metazoa; Chordata; Chondrichthyes; Orectolobiformes; Rhincodontidae. The transcript is spliced from 4 exons. The record is from RefSeq and is a predicted model, not a curated record.
CACUGCCUCACCGGGCCCCGCUCUCCCCGCCAUCACUGCCUCACCGGGCCCCGCUCUCCCCGCCAUCACUGCCUCACCGGGCCCCGCUCUCCCCGCUGACCACUACUGCCUCACCGGGCCCCGCUCUCCCCGCUGACCACUACUGCCUCCUGCCGGCAUUACUCCAGCCCACACUCGAUCUGCACUAACGGGAUUCUAUAACUCGACAAAGGCCCGUUGGCAGCUUCUUCCAAAACCAGGAGUAUCAGAAUUGAGAAGUUAAUCGGCAGUAGAUACAUGUUAACACCACCAUUUUCAAGAUCCUUUCAAGUCACUCAUCAUCCUGUCUUCCUAGAAACAUAGAAUUAUAGAAUUGCUGCAGCCAUUCCUACAGCCUUGAGUGCACACCGAUCCUCUGAAGAUUAUCUCACCACCUAAACUAACCCUGUAACCUGCACAUCUUCAGACUGUGGGAGGAAACCCAUGUGCAAACUCCACACAGACAGUUACCCAGGGCUGGAGACAAACCCGGGUCCCUGGCACAACGAGGCGGCAAUGCUAACCAGUGAGUCACCGUGCCGCUCGCUGUAAACGUGUUGCUAUUUUUUCAGUGUCAGUCAAUCAAAAUCCCGCAGCUCACUCCUUAACAACAUUAUGGAUGUAUUUAACAACAGAUGUACCGCAGAGAUUAAGCGGGGGCAGUUUACCACCAUCUUUUCAGAGUAAACUAGGGAUGGGUAGUAAGUGCUGUUCCAACCAGAGACAUUCAUAGAACAUAGAACAGUACAGCACAGUACAGGCCCUUCGGCCCACGAUGUCAUGCCGAACUUUUACCCGAAACCUAAGGUCUAUCUAACCUCCUUAUACCUUAUACUAUCAUCCAUAUGCCUAUCUGAUACUCUAUACCCAUUCACAUCCCAUGCAUGAGGAGAAACAAAUGAUUGUAAUAUUGUAAAGACCGCAUCCUAUUUUACUUUAUUUUUAUUUGUGGACUGAAUUAAGAAGAGGACAGUUUUACAACCAAAGAAUGUAUCUGUGAAUUCUUGAAAGGUGCUACCAUUAAAUUUAGUGAAAAACUGCAGGUUCCUUAUACAUUCAAGGAUAAUGAAUGGGUUGGAUAUGACAAUCGGAAGAGCUAUGAAAUCAAAGUAAAGUGGCUGAAGGAUCAUAAUUUAGGAGGUGCCAUGCUGUGGGCUUUGGACCAGGAUGAUUACGGUGGAAAACAUUGCAAUGAUGGAACUUACCGUUUGACCAAUACAUUGAAAUCUGCCCUUGCCAUUGAUGAUUCUGGAUGUAUGACAUCAUGGUCUUCAGGAUUGUCAUUUACAUCAUCAGCAGAGGAAGUUGAAAUGAAAUCUUGAUACUUCGACAAACCUGCUGGGUUCUAUCCUCACCCAAAAGAUCCUCAAAAAUUUUACAGUUGUGCCAAUGGGAAAAUGCAUGUGAUGUCUUGUCCUCAAACAUUGACAUUUAAUGAUAAAUGUUGUUGUUGUACCUGAAAAUUAACACAAUAUUAAAUGGAUUCAUUUGGAAAAUGGCAUCGGAAGUGAAUGAAAAAUUAAAGCAUGAGAAAUAAAAUUGAAUUUGAUAAUAGGCUCAUUAGCAAUUGUAUUGUCAGAAUUCAAUGUACUAAUGUUGGAUUAUAUCAUAAUUAACCGCAGUUAACUUUCUAACGAAAUAAAUGGAUUGGUGUAGCAAAUGCUUAUUUUCAACGAAAGAUGAUUUAUGAUUAAUAAAACACAGAGAAUUAUACAAAA